GACGAACGCUGGCGGCGUGCUUAACACAUGCAAGUCGAACGAUGAAGCUGGAGCUUGCUCCGGUGGAUUAGUGGCGAACGGGUGAGUAACACGUGAGCAAUCUGCCCUUGACUCUGGGAUAACUGCGGGAAACUGUAGCUAAUACCGGAUACUUUCCUUGGUGGGCAUCCACUGGGGAAGAAAGAAUUUCGGUCAAGGAUGAGCUCGCGGCCUAUCAGCUAGUUGGUGAGGUAAUGGCUCACCAAGGCGACGACGGGUAGCCGGCCUGAGAGGGUGACCGGCCACACUGGAACUGAGACACGGUCCAGACUCCUACGGGAGGCAGCAGUGGGGAAUAUUGCACAAUGGGCGAAAGCCUGAUGCAGCAACGCCGCGUGAGGGACGAAGGCCUUCGGGUUGUAAACCUCUUUUAGCAGGGAAGAAGCGAAAGUGACGGUACCUGCAGAAAAGGCACCGGCUAACUACGUGCCAGCCGCCGCAGUAA
RNAcentral lists this ribosomal RNA (484 nucleotides) under uncultured bacterium. RNAcentral's name for it is "partial 16S ribosomal RNA". It matches the Rfam family "Bacterial small subunit ribosomal RNA", at positions 28 to 523 of the family's 1533-position model. The record is from RNAcentral.